RNAcentral lists this ribosomal RNA (253 nucleotides) under uncultured bacterium. Its description in RNAcentral is "partial 16S ribosomal RNA". It matches the Rfam family "Bacterial small subunit ribosomal RNA", at positions 524 to 776 of the family's 1533-position model. The record is from RNAcentral.
UACGGGGGGGGCAAGCGUUGUUCGGAAUUACUGGGCGUAAAGGGCUCGUAGGCGGCCAACUAAGUCAGACGUGAAAUCCCUCGGCUUAACCGGGGAACUGCGUCUGAUACUGGAUGGCUUGAGGACAUCAGAGGAGAGCGGAAUCCCCGGUGUAGUGGUGAAAUGCGUAGAUAUCGGGGGGAACACCAGUGGCGAAGGCGGCUCUCUGGGGUGCACCUGACGCUGAUGCGCGAAAGCGUGGGGAGCGAUCCGG